This is a non-coding RNA of Pelobates cultripes (western spadefoot toad), 236 nucleotides long. Lineage: Eukaryota; Metazoa; Chordata; Amphibia; Anura; Pelobatidae. The record is from the annotation of a GenBank genome assembly.
CUGAAUCCUUCACACAGAUUACACCGCUCACACACACAUACACUACAGCCCCUAUGCACACACUCAUUACAUCCCCUAUACACACUUUCUCUCUCACUCUCUACAGCCCUUACCCACACAUAGUACACCACACAUACAACAAUACUGAAAUCAAAAUCUACACAAAGCACCACACCACAAUCAACUCACUCUACACACACGCAAUCCCACAAGUGUUACUUUACUUCCUAAAUACC